RNAcentral lists this ribosomal RNA (861 nucleotides) under uncultured bacterium. RNAcentral describes it as "bacterial SSU rRNA". It matches the Rfam family "Bacterial small subunit ribosomal RNA", at positions 8 to 916 of the family's 1533-position model. The record is from RNAcentral.
AGAGUUUGAUUAUGGCUCAGAACGAACGCUGGCGGCAGGCCUAACACAUGCAAGUCGAACGCUGUAGCAAUACAGAGUGGCAGACGGGUGAGUAACACGUGGGAAUAUACCCUUUGGUUCGGAAUAACUCAGGGAAACUUGAGCUAAUACCGGAUAAGCGCGAGAGCGGAAAGAUUUAUCGCCGAAGGAUUAGCCCGCGUCUGAUUAGCUAGUUGGUGAGGUAAUGGCUCACCAAGGCGACGAUCAGUAGCUGGUCUGAGAGGAUGAUCAGCCACAUUGGGACUGAGACACGGCCCAAACUCCUACGGGAGGCAGCAGUGGGGAAUAUUGGACAAUGGGCGCAAGCCUGAUCCAGCCAUGCCGCGUGAGUGAUGACGGCCUUAGGGUUGUAAAGCUCUUUUACCUGGGAAGAUAAUGACGGUACCAGGAGAAUAAGCCCCGGCUAACUUCGUGCCAGCAGCCGCGGUAAUACGAAGGGGGCUAGCGUUGUUCGGAAUCACUGGGCGUAAAGCGCACGUAGGCGGAUCUUUAAGUCAGGGGUGAAAUCCCAGAGCUCAACUCUGGAACUGCCCUUGAUACUGGGGAUCUUGAGUCCGGAAGAGGUAAGUGGAACUGCGAGUGUAGAGGUGAAAUUCGUAGAUAUUCGCAAGAACACCAGUGGCGAAGGCGGCUUACUGGUCCGGUACUGACGCUGAGGUGCGAAAGCGUGGGGAGCAAACAGGAUUAGAUACCCUGGUAGUCCACGCCGUAAACGAUGGAUGCUAGCCGUUAGGCAGCUUGCUGCUUAGUGGCGCAGCUAACGCUUUAAGCAUCCCGCCUGGGGAGUACGGUCGCAAGAUUAAAACUCAAAUGAAUUGACGG